AUUGAACGCUGGCGGCAUGCUUUACACAUGCAAGUCGAACGGUAACAGGCCGCAAGGUGCUGACGAGUGGCGAACGGGUGAGUAAUGCAUCGGAACGUGCCCAGUCGUGGGGGAUAACUACUCGAAAGAGUAGCUAAUACCGCAUACGAUCUAUGGAUGAAAGCGGGGGACCGUAAGGCUUCGCGCGAUUGGAGCGGCCGAUGUCAGAUUAGGUAGUUGGUGGGGUAAAGGCUCACCAAGCCAACGAUCUGUAGCUGGUCUGAGAGGACGACCAGCCACACUGGGACUGAGACACGGCCCAGACUCCUACGGGAGGCAGCAGUGGGGAAUUUUGGACAAAGGGCGCAGGCCUGAUCCAGCAAUGCCGCGUGCAGGAAGAAGGCCUUCGGGUUGUAAACUGCUUUUGUACGGAACGAAACGGCUCUGGUUAAUACCCGGGGCUAAUGACGGUACCGUAAGAAUAAGCACCGGCUAACUACGUG
RNAcentral lists this ribosomal RNA (482 nucleotides) under uncultured bacterium. RNAcentral describes it as "partial 16S ribosomal RNA". It matches the Rfam family "Bacterial small subunit ribosomal RNA", at positions 30 to 507 of the family's 1533-position model. The record is from RNAcentral.